GAUGAACGCUGGCGGCGUGCCUAAUACAUGCAAGUCGAGCGAACAGACGAGGAGCUUGCUCCUCUGACGUUAGCGGCGGACGGGUGAGUAACACGUGGAUAACCUACCUAUAAGACUGGGAUAACUUCGGGAAACCGGAGCUAAUACCGGAUAAUAUAUUGAACCGCAUGGUUCAAUAGUGAAAGACGGUUUUGCUGUCACUUAUAGAUGGAUCCGCGCCGCAUUAGCUAGUUGGUAAGGUGACGGCUUACCAAGGCAACGAUGCGUAGCCGACCUGAGAGGGUGAUCGGCCACACUGGAACUGAGACACGGUCCAGACUCCUACGGGAGGCAGCAGUAGGGAAUCUUCCGCAAUGGGUGAAAGCUUGACGGAGCAACGCCGCGUGAGUGAUGAAGGUCUUCGGAUCGUAAAACUCUGUUAUUAGGGAAGAACAAAUGUGUAAGUAACCAUGCACGUCUUGACGGUACCUAAUCAGAAAGCCACGGCUAACUACGUG
RNAcentral lists this ribosomal RNA (497 nucleotides) under uncultured bacterium. RNAcentral's name for it is "partial 16S ribosomal RNA". It matches the Rfam family "Bacterial small subunit ribosomal RNA", at positions 28 to 507 of the family's 1533-position model. The record is from RNAcentral.